UACGGGGGGGGCAAGCGUUGUUCGGAAUUACUGGGCGUAAAGGGCUCGUAGGCGGCCAACUAAGUCGAACGUGAAAUCCCUCAGCUUAACUGGGGAACUGCGUCCGAUACUGAUUGGCUUGAAUCCGGAAGAGGGAUGCGGAAUUCCAGGUGUAGCGGUGAAAUGCGUAGAUAUCUGGAGGAACACCGGUGGCGAAGGCGGCAUCCUGGGUCGGUAUUGACGCUGAGGAGCGAAAGCCAGGGGAGCAAACAGG
RNAcentral lists this ribosomal RNA (253 nucleotides) under uncultured bacterium. RNAcentral describes it as "partial 16S ribosomal RNA". It matches the Rfam family "Bacterial small subunit ribosomal RNA", at positions 524 to 776 of the family's 1533-position model. The record is from RNAcentral.